CCGUAGCCUAUUAGAGGGGGAUAACUAUUGGAAACGAUAGCUAAUACCGCAUGACAGUAUGUAACACAUGUUAGAUGCUUGAAAGAUGCAAUUGCAUCGCUAGUAGAUGGACCUGCGUUGUAUUAGCUAGUAGGUAGGGUAAUGGCCUACCUAGGCGACGAUACAUAGCCGACCUGAGAGGGUGAUCGGCCACACUGGGACUGAGACACGGCCCAG
RNAcentral lists this ribosomal RNA (216 nucleotides) under uncultured bacterium. RNAcentral's name for it is "partial 16S ribosomal RNA". It matches the Rfam family "Bacterial small subunit ribosomal RNA", at positions 125 to 334 of the family's 1533-position model. The record is from RNAcentral.